This 336-nucleotide unclassified non-coding RNA is filed under the name soil metagenome. RNAcentral's name for it is "partial contains 5.8S ribosomal RNA, internal transcribed spacer 2, and large subunit ribosomal RNA". The stretch from base 1 to 120 matches the Rfam family "5.8S ribosomal RNA", at positions 35 to 154 of the family's 154-position model. The record is from RNAcentral.
GAUGAAGAACGUAGCGAAAUGCGAUAAGUAGUGUGAAUUGCAGAAUUCAGUGAAUCAUCGAAUCUUUGAACGCACAUUGCGCCCCUUGGUAUUCCAUGGGGCAUGCCUGUUCGAGCGUCAUUUGUACCUUCAAGCUUUGCUUGGUGUUGGGUGUUUGUCUCGCCUUUGCGUGUGGACUCGCCUUAAAAUAAUUGGCAGCCGGCGUAUUGAUUUCGGAGCGCAGUACAUCUCGCGCUUUGCACUCAUAACGACAGCGUCCAAAAGUACAUUUUACACUCUUGACCUCGGAUCAGGUAGGGAUACCCGCUGAACUUAAGCAUAUCAAUAAGCGGAGGA